Molecule: ribosomal RNA, 433 nt
Filed under: uncultured bacterium
Lineage: Bacteria
Description: partial 16S ribosomal RNA
Rfam family: Bacterial small subunit ribosomal RNA
Source: RNAcentral
AACGAACGCUGGCGGCAUGCCUAACACAUGCAAGUCGAACGAGACCUUCGGGUCUAGUGGCGCACGGGUGCGUAACGCGUGGGAACCUGCCCUUAGGCUCGGAAUAACUCCCCGAAAGGGGUGCUAAUACCGGAUAAUGUCUUCGGACCAAAGAUUUAUCGCCUUUGGAUGGGCCCGCGUUGGAUUAGCUAGUUGGUAGGGUAAAAGCCUACCAAGGCGACGAUCCAUAGCUGGUCUGAGAGGAUGAUCAGCCACACUGGGACUGAGACACGGCCCAGACUCCUACGGGAGGCAGCAGUGGGGAAUAUUGGACAAUGGGCGAAAGCCUGAUCCAGCAAUGCCGGGUGAGUGAUGAAGGCCUUAAGGUUGUAAAGCUCUUUUACCCGGGAUGAUAAUGACAGUACCGGGAGAAUAAGCUCCGGCUAACUCCGUG